RNAcentral lists this ribosomal RNA (709 nucleotides) under Phytophthora palmivora. RNAcentral describes it as "eukaryotic LSU rRNA". It matches the Rfam family "Eukaryotic large subunit ribosomal RNA", at positions 81 to 628 of the family's 3401-position model. The record is from RNAcentral. Lineage: Eukaryota; Oomycota; Peronosporomycetes; Peronosporales; Peronosporaceae.
UAGUAACGGCGAGUGAAGCGGGAAGAGCUCAAGCUUAAAAUCUCCGUGCAAGUUUUGCGCGGCGAAUUGUAGUCUAUAGAGGCGUGGUCAGCGUGAGCACUUGGGGCAAGUUCCUUGGAAGAGGACAGCAUGGAGGGUGAUACUCCCGUUCAUCCCUGAGUUGCUCGUGCGUACGACCCGUUUUCUUUGAGUCGCGUUGUUUGGGAAUGCAGCGCAAAGUAGGUGGUAAAUUCCAUCUAAAGCUAAAUAUUGGUGCGAGACCGAUAGCGAACAAGUACCGUGAGGGAAAGAUGAAAAGAACUUUGAAAAGAGAGUUAAAGAGUACCUGAAACUGCUGAAAGGGAACCGAAUCGUUUCCAGUGUCUAUAAUCUGUGGCAUAUUUCAUUGGCGAGUGUGUGCGUGCGUGUGCUGUGGCAGUGGCUUUUUUGGCUGCGCUCGGUGUGUGUGCUGUGUGUGCUUGCUGGUGCCCUGUGCUGCGGUGGGACGUCAAGGUCAGUUCGUAUGCUGCGGGAAAUGGCUGCCGAGGAGGUAGGGCUUACGCUUGCGUUUGUCUGUUAUAUCUUGGUGGACGAGUAGUCGCGGUUGGGACUGAGGUGCCUACAACGUGCUUUUGAGUGUGUCUGUGUCUCCGUGUGCGCCGUGUGCGGAUAGCUUGCUAUGCGUGUGUGGUUGUGUGUGGAUUGAUGCGGGCUUUAACUUGUGCCGUUC